UACGUAGGGUGCGAGCGUUGUCCGGAAUUACUGGGCGUAAAGAGCUCGUAGGUGGUUUGUCGCGUUGUUCGUGAAAACUCACAGCUUAACUGUGGGCGUGCGGGCGAUACGGGCAGACUGGAGUACUGCAGGGGAGAUUGGAAUUCCUGGUGUAGCGGUGGAAUGCGCAGAUAUCAGGAGGAACACCGGUGGCGAAGGCGGGUCUCUGGGCAGUAACUGACGCUGAGGAGCGAAAGCGUGGGGAGCGAACAGG
This 253-nucleotide ribosomal RNA is filed under the name uncultured bacterium. Its description in RNAcentral is "partial 16S ribosomal RNA". It matches the Rfam family "Bacterial small subunit ribosomal RNA", at positions 524 to 776 of the family's 1533-position model. The record is from RNAcentral.